AUUUCACUGGAGGGUACCAGCGCGUCACAUUCCAUAGCGGCCUGUGAGCAAAUGGGGAUGGCCAGCUCUCCUGGCCAGCUUUUGGACCACAGCACUCCAUCUUCGUCUGUUGGCUAUUCUGAAUCAUCUGGAACCUGCUCUGGUCGUUCAACACCUGCUUCCGCCAAGCUCUCAAGGAGGCCCAGGGACGUCAUAAAACGCCUACAAGCAAAGGUUUCCAGUUACAGAAAGACAAUAUCAAGACUGCGCAAGCAACAGAAGCAAAUGCCUCAAAC
Molecule: long non-coding RNA, 275 nt
Organism: Ixodes scapularis (black-legged tick)
Lineage: Eukaryota; Metazoa; Arthropoda; Arachnida; Ixodida; Ixodidae
Exons: 3
Source: RefSeq, a predicted model, not a curated record